RNAcentral lists this small RNA (28 nucleotides) under Bombyx mori (domestic silkworm). RNAcentral describes it as "ovarian small RNA-33448". Lineage: Eukaryota; Metazoa; Arthropoda; Insecta; Lepidoptera; Bombycidae. The record is from RNAcentral.
UGCACCGGUCGUGCAAGUCACUGAGCAA